RNAcentral lists this ribosomal RNA (465 nucleotides) under uncultured bacterium. RNAcentral's name for it is "partial 16S ribosomal RNA". It matches the Rfam family "Bacterial small subunit ribosomal RNA", at positions 338 to 795 of the family's 1533-position model. The record is from RNAcentral.
CCUACGGGGGGCAGCAGUGGGGAAUAUUGCGCAAUGGGCGAAAGCCUGACGCAGCGACGCCGCGUGAGGGAUGAAGGUCUUCGGAUCGUAAACCUCUGUCAGCAGGGAAGAACGGUCACUGUGCUAAUCAGCAGUGAAUUGACGGUACCUGCAAAGGAAGCACCGGCUAACUCCGUGCCAGCAGCCGCGGUAAUACGGAGGGUGCGAGCGUUAAUCGGAAUUACUGGGCGUAAAGCGCUCGUAGGCGGUAUGUCAAGUCAAGGGUGAAAUCCCCGCGCUCAACGUGGGAACUGCCUUUGAAACGGGCAAACUGGAGUGUGUGAGAGGAUAGUGGAAUUCCAGGUGUAGGAGUGAAAGCCGUAGAUAUCUGGAGGAACAUCAGUGGCGAAGGCGACUAUCUGGCACAUAACUGACGCUGAGGAGCGAAAGCGUGGGUAGCAAACAGGAUUAGACACCCUUGUAGUC